CAAUUCGUUUAAAUCCAAACAUCUCUUUAACCCGGCUCUUGUCAAAUCCAUGUUGAGCUUUUUAAUUGCCCACCAUGCUUUAUAUUCAAUCUCCACUGGGAGAUGGCACGCUUUGCCAUAAACAAGGCGAUAAGGAGACAUUCCAAGAAUGGUCUUAUAAGCGGUCCUAUAAGCCCAUAAUGAAUCUAGGAGCUUAAUAGACCAAUCCUUCCUAUUCACAUUCACCACCUUCAUCAGUAU
RNAcentral lists this long non-coding RNA (240 nucleotides) under Vitis vinifera (wine grape). RNAcentral describes it as "long non-coding RNA (VVIN_LNC004682)". The record is from RNAcentral. Lineage: Eukaryota; Viridiplantae; Streptophyta; Magnoliopsida; Vitales; Vitaceae.